RNAcentral lists this ribosomal RNA (423 nucleotides) under uncultured eukaryotic phytoplankton. RNAcentral describes it as "bacterial SSU rRNA". It matches the Rfam family "Bacterial small subunit ribosomal RNA", at positions 358 to 795 of the family's 1533-position model. The record is from RNAcentral.
GGAAUUUUCCGCAAUGGGCGAAAGCCUGACGGAGCAAUACCGCGUGAGGGAAGACUGCCUAUGGGUUGUAAACCUCUUUUUUCAGGGAGGAAUAAAUGACGUGUACCUGAAGAAUAAGCAUCGGCUAACUCCGUGCCAGCAGCCGCGGUAAGACGGAGGAUGCAAGUGUUAUCCGGAAUCACUGGGCGUAAAGCGUCUGUAGGUGGUUGUUUAAGUCAACUGUUAAAUCUUGAGGCUCAACUUCAAAAUCGCAGUCGAAACUAUUCAACUAGAGUAUAGUAGGGGUAAAGGGAAUUUCCAGUGGAGCGGUGAAAUGCGUAGAUAUUGGAAAGAACACCGAUGGCGAAGGCACUUUACUGGGCUAUUACUGACACUCAGAGACGAAAGCUAGGGUAGCAAAUGGGAUUAGAUACCCCUGUAGUC